RNAcentral lists this ribosomal RNA (433 nucleotides) under uncultured bacterium. RNAcentral's name for it is "partial 16S ribosomal RNA". It matches the Rfam family "Bacterial small subunit ribosomal RNA", at positions 29 to 507 of the family's 1533-position model. The record is from RNAcentral.
AACGAACGCUGGCGGCAUGCCUAACACAUGCAAGUCGAACGAGACCUUCGGGUCUAGUGGCGCACGGGUUCGUAACGCGUGGGAACCUGCCCUUAGGUUCGGCAUAACUCCCCGAAAGGGGUGCUAAUACCGGAUAAUGUCUUCGGACCAAAGAUUUAUCGCCUUUGGAUGGGCCCGCGUUGGAUUAGCUAGUUGGUAGGGUAAAAGCCUACCAAGGCGACGAUCCAUAGCUGGUCUGAGAGGAUGAUCAGCCACACUGGGACUGAGACACGGCCCAGACUCCUACGGGAGGCAGGAGUGGGGGAUAGUGGACAAUGGGCGGAAGCAUGAUCCAGCAAGGCCGCGUGAGUGAUGAAGGCCUUAGGGUUGUAAAGCUCUUUUAACCGGGAUGAUAAUGACAGUACCGGGAGAAUAAGCUCCGGCUAACUCCGUG